UCCUGUCAUCCAACCAAACCAUCUCUCCCAGGGAUCUUUUAUCCCAGAGUUCCUCUUUAGCUCCUCAGAGAGCUCUUUCAAUUUUUCUAUAGCUAAGGUUACUUUACCAUUGGGGCCUGUGUUUUCUGGGAUGUAAGUACAACAUGUCAUGGUGUCAGGCAGAAUUUUGCAUACCCCUCCUUUGAAUGACAUUUGGGACGUAGCCUGCAGCUGUUCGGCCAAACCCUGAAGGGCAUCCCUGGUGUAAUUAACA
This is a non-coding RNA of Pelobates cultripes (western spadefoot toad), 253 nucleotides long. NCBI's taxonomy places the organism in Eukaryota, Metazoa, Chordata, Amphibia, Anura, Pelobatidae. The record is from the annotation of a GenBank genome assembly.